RNAcentral lists this ribosomal RNA (292 nucleotides) under uncultured bacterium. RNAcentral's name for it is "partial 16S ribosomal RNA". It matches the Rfam family "Bacterial small subunit ribosomal RNA", at positions 505 to 796 of the family's 1533-position model. The record is from RNAcentral.
GUGCCAGCCGCCGCGGUAAUACAGAGACUGCAAGCGUUGUUCGGAUUCACUGGGCGUAAAGGGUGCGCAGGCGGCCGGGUGUGUCGGGUGUGAAAGCUCGAGGCUUAACCUCGAAACUGCGCCCGAAACUAUCCGGCUAGAGUACUGGAGAGGGAAGCGGAAUUCACGGUGUAGCAGUGAAAUGCGUAGAUAUCGUGAGGAACACCAAUGGCGAAGGCAGCUUCCUGGACAGUUACUGACGCUCAGGCACGAAAGCGUGGGGAGCAAAAGGGAUUAGAUACCCCCGUAGUCC